This 1080-nucleotide long non-coding RNA is filed under the name Apteryx owenii (little spotted kiwi). Its description in RNAcentral is "lncRNA (ENSAOWG00000001038.1)". The record is from RNAcentral. Lineage: Eukaryota; Metazoa; Chordata; Aves; Apterygiformes; Apterygidae.
AAGUGAUUGCUCCUUCAGGAGCUGGACCACUCUAAAACUGGAGGAAAUGAAAGCUAUUGGUUGGAUCUAGAGGAAAACAUACUGACUUCUGGAAAGAUUAAGGAGCUAAAGAUCAGCCAAAAAGAACUUCAGCUUUCCACUGUGAAGGAAUUACGUGGAUUUCUCCUUUUAAUCUGAAGGAACUCCUUAAAUAGAAAACCAAAUAACCCCAAGCCUCUUCUGUUGCAGGAAACACUAGUGUGGAAUGCCAAAAACAGAUACAGCAAUGCAUGUUGGCUGCAGUAUAAAUCCAGCUGUAGAUAUGGGACAGAAUAAAACUCUUACAGAAAUAGAAGCUUUUUUGAAUAAUAACCUCUUAACUGCAAUAGAAAUAAGCAGUCUUUCUGAGAAUCUUCAGAGUUCUCUUCCCCUGUCAGAUGGUCCAAGCAGCUGUACUGAUGACCAGUUCAGGAGUACAUGUCAGUCAGCCAGAUCUCUGGAACUGCCAGUGAAGCUUCCUUUAAUUGCAACGUCUAACGCAAAACAGCAGGAUAGCCCUUCUGUUUGUGAAGUACUAAAUUCUUGUAAAAGUACUACUGUUUUGUCAAAGGAAAUACACUCAGAUCAACUCAGGUUUGCGUUAUCAUUGCCUUCUGAUAGAAAUAAUCAAAGGUCAAAUGAAACAGACCAGGUGGAAGCAACUGUUGACACAAAUACAUUUUUAAAAGGGAGAAAGGCUUUGCAAGAUCUGACAAAUACCAGUAUACAUUCUCAGGUUUCCUUACCUAAAUCCCCCAAAACUUUAGAAGAAAACUCAGCAGCACGAGCUAGACGAGGAAGAGCUGCUAUUUGCUACAAAGAACCCAAACUAAACAGCAAAUUAAGGCGUGGAGAUCAGUUUACAGAUACAGAUUUUCUGGAUUCCCCAGUCUAUAAAGUAAAAAAUAAAAGAAGUUUUAAAAGUAAAUCAAAAUUUAUUUGAAGAAGACAAGAGAAUUGCCUUUAUGAACAGUAUUUUUAACAUGUAUACUUUUUUUUUUUCCAAAAUGGUAUAGACUGCUUAUUGUUCUUUGAUUAAUAAAGGUAAAACACAGCCUUCCA